Molecule: long non-coding RNA, 614 nt
Organism: Leguminivora glycinivorella
Lineage: Eukaryota; Metazoa; Arthropoda; Insecta; Lepidoptera; Tortricidae
Exons: 2
Source: RefSeq, a predicted model, not a curated record
GUAGCGUUAAUUAUUUCUUAGUGAAUUAUAAGAAUUAAAAUAAAUAUAUUCUCAUAUAUUUACAACAUUUAAUCUUGUCGUUAUGACAAAUAAAUAGGAAAUGAUAAGUAUCGACGUCGAUACUGUCGAUACUAUCGACUUUCCCAAUCCCGCGGACUUGUUUACGCGAUAUCGCCGGCGCCAUGUUAUAACGGUGCCUCGGCCCGGACAAGAGAUCAAACUGCAGCGCGGUGCGCACGUCGCUCGUGCACAGAUAUGGGCCGCGCCCUUGAAUCGUCAUGUGUGAAUUUUUAAUAGUUAUAUGAAACCUAAAAUACAUAGUUAAUUUAUAAAAGGUGCAUCUCGUUUGUUACGACACUUCAUUACAAAUCAAGUGCAUAUAUUCCCCCACUUUGGGGACUACUCGACGGGCUCACUACUAUCACGCCCGCAAACCUUCACCCUGCCUGGACGCCUCUGCCCGCUCGCGUCGAACGCCGCGUCACACGCCACUACCGACGCCAGGACGCCAGGACAGUAACGCUCAGCUACGCUGCGAUCCAUUUGCCAUCACCACCGUAGGCCUACGACCCACGUCCCUAAAUAGACCUAAUAAAUAGAUUUAACACUUUGUA